RNAcentral lists this ribosomal RNA (468 nucleotides) under uncultured bacterium. RNAcentral's name for it is "partial 16S ribosomal RNA". It matches the Rfam family "Bacterial small subunit ribosomal RNA", at positions 28 to 507 of the family's 1533-position model. The record is from RNAcentral.
GACGAACGCUGGCGGCGUGCUUAACACCUGCAAGUCGAACGGAAAGGCCCUGCUUUUGUGGGGUGCUCGAGUGGCGAACGGGUGAGUAACACGUGAGUAACCUGCCCUUGACUUUGGGAUAACUUCAGGAAACUGGGGCUAAUACCGGAUAGGAGCUCCUGCUGCAUGGUGGGGGUUGGAAAGUUUCGGCGGUUGGGGAUGGACUCGCGGCUUAUCAGCUUGUUGGUGGGGUAGUGGCUUACCAAGGCUUUGACGGGUAGCCGGCCUGAGAGGGUGACCGGCCACAUUGGGACUGAGAUACGGCCCAGACUCCUACGGGAGGCAGCAGUGGGGAAUAUUGCACGAUGGGCGGAAGCCUGAUGCAGCAACGCCGCGUGCGGGAUGACGGCCUUCGGGUUGUAAACCGCUUUCGCCUGUGACGAAGCGUGAGUGACGGUAAUGGGUAAAGAAGCACCGGCUAACUACGUG